Molecule: RNA transcript, 1481 nt
Organism: Megalopta genalis
Lineage: Eukaryota; Metazoa; Arthropoda; Insecta; Hymenoptera; Halictidae
Gene: Vti1a
Gene name: Vesicle transport through interaction with t-SNAREs 1a
Source: RefSeq, a predicted model, not a curated record
GCUAUGCUGCUAGCUGCAAGUAGCCCUAGUACGACGACAAUAACGCAAAUUUAUUCUGAUUUCAGAACGCAGCUGUUCCAAAUCCAGUGUUACAUGGAUGGUUUAGUUUACACUCCCAUUUACACAUCUUCAAUGGAAAUACGUUUAAGAUGGCGUCGCUCAUUGACAACUAUGAGCAAGAAUACGCCGUUUUGACAGCUGACAUAACUGCGAAAAUCGGUAGAAUAAGGACACAGAGCGGCAAUGAGAGGAGAACAUUCGUCCAAGAUGUGGACAGGCAAAUUAAAGAUGCUCAGGAGCUGCUCGAGCAAAUGGAAUUGGAGGUUCGUGGGGUGACUGGUGCAUCCCGUGACCGCUUACGUGGUCGAGUAGAAAGUCACAGAGUAGAACUAAAACGAUUGACUCAAGAAUUCCAAUCGGCUAAAAUGCCAAAAGAAGACAGCAUUGAAUUAACCAGAGAUGAUUCCUGGGAUAACGGUAUUACAGAGGAUCAGAAAGAAAGAUUGUUGGAUGCUUCAGAGCGGAUAGAACGAAGUGGACGGACAUUACAAAAUGGUUAUCGAAUGGUACUAGAAACAGAAGAAAUGGGUUCUCAAGUACUGAAGGAAUUGCACAGUCAAAGGGAAACGAUUCAAAGAGGAAGGGGAAGACUACGUGAUACAGAUGCAGAGCUGGGACGAGGUUCUCGGUUAUUAUCAGGAAUGAUAUUCAGAACUCUUCAGCAAAGAUUUAUUUUAGCGGCAGUUGCGUUGACACUAAUAAUUGUUGGUUGCGUUGUCGUAUAUUAUAGCUUUAAAUCUAAAAGCUAAAGCUGCAAGUAGAGUGAUAUCUUGGUCGCAAUGAGGUUUUUGAACCAUAUUUAUUAUCAGCAGCCACAUGCCGAUGUCUCCCGUAUGAUGCCAUCCGAAUUCGUCGAUAACUUGAGCAGUUUUUUCAGGAUCCUUGAAAUAUCCCACGAACACGUUAGUGCCCUUCACGCACACCUCGCCUUUGCUCUUUCUGGCAUAGUAUUCCAUUUCCGGGACAUCUACUAAUUUGACGCAGCAGCAAGCAACCGGUGGACCUACGUGCUCCGGUACAUAAUCACCCUGUGAUAAUUUCAAAACCGUGAAUAAGAUGUUGAAUAUAGGAAUUAGUAAAGUUGAAUCGAACUCAAUUAUCCAUUUAAAGCCAGUUCUGCUUAUUUUGUUGUUUAAGAGUCGAGAAACGCCUUUGCAAGUUCACAGAGCCAUUAGGUUGAUGAUAGUUCUGUAGCAGUUUUAAAUGGCUAAUUGUUUUUGAACCAACUAUGGGCAUGAGAAGUUGAACAUUUAUUGCACACACUAUUAAAAUGUUACAGAACAAUUGUUACGCAAAUUGAAUGUUCCUUUUGGGAACAUGUUCACUAGUUAUCGUACAAUAAUGAACGUAAAAAAUAUAACUGUUCGUUUUAGUGAUGUUAAGGAUGCUUAUUAUAAAGAUACGUUAGUUGGAAAAGUAAA